CGGACCUGAAUAGCACAGGCAUGCCAUCUUGUAACACUAUCUGGCUGUCAGGAGAGGCCGGCCCAGAAGAGUGAGCUAUAUAAGGCUUGUUACCAGGGGAGGCCUAACAAACAGCUACAAACACCUAAGUUAUUUUGCUCGCCACCCACCCUUCCCUCUCUCUCUCUCUCUCUCUCCCUCUCUCUCUCUCUCUCUCUCUCUCUUUUCUUUCGCUCCUCUCGCGCUCUCCUUUUUUUUUUUUCCCCCCUCUUUUCAUCUCGGGCUUUCUGAUGUUGAAUGCAAAUGUGGCCUGCCGGCGGAGAAAGGGGGCGAAUUGUGAUUAAGCAGAAGAAGAGCCCUUUUCUUUGUUCUCGCCUCCGGGGAUGUUUACUGGGAGAGACAUGGAGGAUCAGAUAUGAAAGGCAUUCAGCCUGGCCUGUUUGACUGUGAAGAUCUUUGGCGGGUAAGAGCAGCUCGUAUAGUAACGGUGGUUCGCUGGCUGCAGAAGCGUAACAGCGAGGAACUGCAUGGGCUUUGCUGGACAACACCACGUCAAGCCGGCCGCCACCACGAUCGGGAGUCUUCGCAACGCUACGUCCAAAUUCUUUUGUCCGGCUUUAAGAUUUUUGCAGUGAUUUC
This is a long non-coding RNA of Anguilla anguilla (European eel), 618 nucleotides long. RefSeq lists it as uncharacterized. The transcript has 3 exons. The record is from RefSeq and is a predicted model, not a curated record. Lineage: Eukaryota; Metazoa; Chordata; Actinopteri; Anguilliformes; Anguillidae.